Molecule: long non-coding RNA, 2014 nt
Filed under: Cinara cedri
Lineage: Eukaryota; Metazoa; Arthropoda; Insecta; Hemiptera; Aphididae
Source: RNAcentral
UUAUAUCAUUGUGUUAUUUCAUCAAACAUUUCUGACGAAUUCAAGAAUCGCAAUGGUAUUGUACCGUGCCGUCGACUCCGGUUCACUCGUUCUCUACAUAAUGUUGUGGUGUCGGGUGUGGUUUCAAUGUUUCAUAUCAGUCGAAAUAUACUUCGGUAACGUUUCUCUUUUGAAGUUGAUCUGAGUAAAUAAGUUAAGGACUUUUUUCUGACCGAACAUUACGACAACGUCUCUUUGCCUUGAAAACUCGGUUCAACAGAAUUGGUCUACUUUUCCACUGUCCACCGAGCCAGCAGACGGGUACUAAUUUGUCUAAUUUCAACUUCGGUCUACGCGUCAACUAUCAUAAACGAGCUGGUAGGAAAUAUUUUCAAGGAUCAACAACUUGCAUCAUGGUGAUUUUAUUAGUUGUUAUUAAUGAAAUAUACUUCUUGUUGAUCUGAUGGCCUAUCAGGAGUUUUAUUGUCUCAUAAUAAAUGCUUACCAGGGUGCCAGCAAAUAAAAGUAUGGAAGAUUUACUAGAAUGUGAAAUCUCAAAUGUCAAUUUAAACACAUCUAUAGGUGAACCAGUUUCUGAAACACCUUAAUGAUUUAAAUUAAACUUUUCGUGCUAGUGAUACAGUCAUACAAGCAAUUUUAGUAGAAUUAGCAGAAGCAUCCACACUUAGUUUUUGAAAAAUAUUAUAAAAACAAUUUUUGGUAUCGGUAAAAAAAGAUAAAACUUAAAAUAAAAAUAUAUUACAUCUACUUUAACAGUUUAUAAAACAUGUUUUUAACAUUUUAUAGUGUAAAAUUACGUAAACAAUAAAACAAUGAUAAUUAACAAAUAACAACUUACAUAACUAUGAAAUAGGUAUCAACCCAUUCAAAAUUUUGACUUUUAUUUUUUCUUGAGCAAUAACAGUGUUUUUAUAAUUUGAUUUUUGGUAACAGUAACUGUCAAUAAUAAAUGGAAAUACAUAAUGUCCUCUCAUACCUUUACUUCCCCUUAGAAACUUAUAUGUUAUUUCUUAUUCUUCAAUUUCACUCAUUUGUCCAACAUAUUCAAAAUUACCUUAAAGAUUUCAAAUUUUACCAAAACAAAAAUCCAUUAUUUUUAAAUUUUCGUUAUUAUCAGUCUUAAAAGUUUCUACAGUAUCAUUUAAUUUAUUACAGAAAUUUUCUUCAAUCUCAUUUAACUUAUUGUCUGCAUUAUUUUCAGAUGCUUGUCUGUAGCUGAAUGUUCCUUUGUUUAUCUCAGUAAAGGCAUUUUUUAAUGUUUCAGCGGAGAAAUUUUAAGUAUGUGCAUAAACCUGGCUGUCUUUAAUAUUCAUUUAGCAUUUUCGAAGUCAACCUUGUUUGAACGUUGAAAAACAAAUUCAUUCAUUAAAAAUCAGAUUAUGCAUAUUUUUACAUAAUGUUUGGACUAAUUUUAUAAUUUUAUUUAUAAAAUUGUUGUAUAUUAAUUAAAAAUGAUGGAAUAGUAAUCUAGACAAUGAUAAGAUAGAUUAAUUAAGCAAAUAUACCUAAUAAUAUAGUAAAAUAUAAAUAAAGCGUAAAAACACUUAGAUCAUAUACAAUGGAUAGUACUAGAUUGCAUAUAAUAUUGAUUAUAUUCAUGUUAGUGACAAGUUGCCAGGUAAGUGGCCCCUACCUACUAUGCGUGCCCUAGCAACUAGUUUCAUAUUUAUCUCAAUAAAUUAUUUAUUUAUAUAAUUUCAUACGGAAUAAACUUCAUUUACAAAAAGACAUUACAGCAGCAAAACGUAUGUUAUACAUCAGUAUACUAAAUUAAAUCAUCAUAAUAGUUAAUAUAUAAAUAAUAUCCAAAAUCCUUAACCUUAACAAUAGAACACAUACUAUUUAGAGACCUUAACUAAUAUCUUUAGGUACUUAGUAAUCAAAAAUAUUAUAUCAAUUAGUUUAAUAUGAAAGACAAUGUUUAUAAAUUAAACGUCGAGUGUAUAUCAUUUAUUGAGCAACAAAAUAAAUCUAAAUUUAUACUGUUUCCAGCCAUCAUUAAAGUAUUAGCUGG